CAGGAGCGGUGUAUCACUGCACACAGGGACUACUUUGAUCGGGUUGGCUGCCAAAUUUAAAUGAGGAACCCGAACGCAGCUUUUCCCACAAUCCUCAGGCUGAGAAAGGAGCUGAGCUUUCUGGUCUGGAAGUCAUUCUGCUGCCGAUACUCUCCUCCAGAGAGAGUGUGUGUCUGUCUGUGUGUGUGUCUGCCUGUCUGUGUGUGUGUGUGUGUGUGUGUGUGUGUGUGUCGGAGAAAGACCACAGCUUUAUGUGCAUGGAACUAAUGACCUAAGGGCUAAGUGACGACACAGGGGAGAAGAGGAUGGAGAGAGGAGAUAAUGAUGGGGUGGAGAGGAUGGCGGGAUGAAAGGAGAAGAGUGGAAAAGUAUAACAGGAGAAAGGUGAGAGGAAGAGAAGGAUAAGAGGAUAAAGAGAGCAAUAGAAAAAGGACGGAGGGAGAGAGACAUGGGAUGAGGAUUAAGGCAGGAUGAAGGCAGAGAGGAGGAAGGAAGGGAGGAGGAGGAGAGGAAGGAGAGGGGAGAGAAAUAUGAGACUGGAGGGAGAGGAAAAGACUGGAUGGAGAGGGAUAGAAGGAUGAAAAGAGACAUGAGAGACGGGUGGAGGAGGGGGAUGGGGGAGAGAGAUGAGGUAAGACUGAUGGAGACAGAGGAGGGGAAGAUGGAAGAAGACGGAAGAGGAGGAGAGAAGGAAGAGAAGUAGGAGAGGCUGGAGGGAGAGAAAAAGGAAGGAUGGGAAAAGAGGGAUAUGAUGAGGGAAGAGAAGGAUGGAGGGAGAGGAUGAGUGAGACAGGAGAAGAGGAUGGAAGAGGAGAGGAUGAAGGAUGAGAGUAGAAAGUAAAAUGAAGGAAGAAAACAGGAGAGGCUAGAGGGAAAGAAAAAAGAGGAUAGAGAAAAAGAGGGAUACAAUGACGCAGAUAGAAGGACGAGAGACGAGUGGAAGAAGAAGCUGGGAGGAGAAAGUUAAGCUGAGGAUGAGGGAGACAGAGGAGGAGGAGAGGAUGAAAGAGGAAGAGGGAGAGAAGGAAAGAAGUAUAAAGAGAAAGAACAGAGAAAGAAAUGAUGAAGAGGGAGAAGAGGGACAGAGGGAGCCAGCACCUUAUUGUACAACAUGGCCGACUAAACGCCCUCCAGAGACCUUCAUCAAAGCUACCGCAUCAUCAGAAAUACACACAACUACAGCCACUGUGUGUGUGUGUGUGUGUGUGUGUGUGUGUGUGUGUGUGUGUGUGUUAAGCCUGCAGCAAGGUGGAGGCCAGCGGAGGUCAGUGUCUCUCAGAGGAGGCGACAGACUGACAUCCUCGUCACAGCAGGACUUCAAAAUCCACUCAACACUACUCCAUUUUCAGCUCCUGUUCAGCUGUUAAAGGACUACUGCACUUUUUUUGGCUCAUGUUUAUACUCUGGAUGUUUUUCAGUCAGUGUUUUUCCUCACUCUGGCUCAUUUACACCUGAAAAUAGUCCACUGCUGUGCUUUUAAAGCUGAACACGUUUUGCAAAAUUCAACCAACUAUGGAGGUUUCUCACGUAUCACAACCCAGUUAAAAACAAAAAACCUUACUCUGGUCAUAAGUCAGGUUAUCAACCUGCAAUUCAUCACAAAAUAAAGAGAACUUGCAUUUCCUCGUGCUCAGGGACCAAAGUUGCAUCUUCAGUUUGCUUGUUUUAUAUGAACAACAGUUGAAAACUCAAAUUAAUUCCAUUUCCAGUACAUGACAGAGAGAAAGCUGGAAGCACAUAAAAUGUCCCUGUAUCUUAAUGCGACAAAAGCUCUAAACACUGGGAGACAGUGAGGGAACCCCAGUAACACAGAGGCUAAAAAAAGAUGUGGACAGGAUCUCACCCACUCGGACCAAGCUGAGGGGAAACGAUCGUUCCACGCAUUCAAAAUGACACUGAUCGAUGAGAAGUGCAGUCACAGCUGAAAACCAGGUGGCAUUUCACUCCUGAUUGGCUGAGACACGGCUGACAAUACCAGUGAUCCAGGACAUUUUCACUGCUGUCUUGUUAGGAGUUUAAGACCGUCAGGAUUUAUUUUAAUAUUUCAAUUUCUGCUGAGUGUCAAAAAAGGGUAAAAUUGAGUGCACACAGCCUGUCAAAUUCAUCACAAGGUUUUCUUUUGGUAUUUUUCCAACUGACUGGACUGAACAUGUCAAAAGUUUCACCAUACAUUAGUUAUAUAAACUCUUAUUGAAUAACUUUUACUGGUAUGCAAUAAUCCAUCAGUAUCACACUUAAUUAUUAACAGUUACACCCAUAUUCCUGUUAAAUGCUGCAGAUAUGAGCCUGAUAAAUGACAGAGGGCACUCCCUCCAUAUUACAUUACAGUGUCAGUCUGAAACCUGAUCUAUCUGUAAUGAUUUACUUCACCUGAAUCACAAUACUUUUUUUGUCAAAGAAAAUGGUCACAGCAGCAAGAACGUCAUCAUCAGUGUCAAAAUGGCGCCCACUGAGCUCCUCCUUUGUCUUAGGGGAAGAGGCAGUAGGCAGGAGGGGGUCAGUACUGUCUAUUUUCUCAGAUAGAGCUGAUUUAUAAUUUUCAAUUACCCAAAACAGAAAAAACGUUAUUCAUUUCAAACUUUCUCUUAAAAACAAAACCAAGAUUAUUUAUUUUUGUUGUUUUGGUAAAUGGUUAAUAAUGUAAUUCAAGGUUAGCAGAGGGAACAACACUCUGAUAUGUCUGAAGCUCCACUUCACAUAUUAUUACCUCUUUUAUUGCUCCAUUAAAAUGUGGUCACUUUCUCUGUCAGUUUGAUGCUCGUUUGUUUUCAACGCGCUCACAUGUCGCUGGCGGCAUCGUGACAGAAAACAUGAGAGAGAGAGAUAAAAAAAGAGAGAGGGAGAAGGGCAACAUAAGGGCUUUUCAAGGCAAACUAAUGGAAGACUGGACUGCUCAAAUACAGCCACAGGACACACACUCUGUCACACACACACACUUACACACAAGCCCCAUUAGACCAGAUGACUGCCUUGGAGCCAGGUGGCAGAGCACUAGCCUCUCUCUCACCCUUUUUCCUUUCUCUUUGCACAACCUGCCCCAAGACACACACACAGACACACACACAGAGUUUCAGCAUGCUAAUUCAUCUUCCCACCACACACACACACGAUCCGUCCACAGUGUUGUAGCCCCCAGCCCGGCUCAAACUGGCGUCGUCUGUCCCCCGCCCUCAGGUUAGUUGCAAUUGGACAAGGUCCUAAUACUUUGCUACACACACACACACACACAAACACACACACACGCUGCGGGACAUAACCAAUCGCCUUAAUCUAAUACUUGCAUUGGCCCCAUGACUUUAAGCAAUAUGAAGAGAGAGAGUAGGAACAGUACAGCAACUACAUCUGAAAACACUGAGCAUCUACACUGAAACGUCUAAACAACAGGAAAACAACUA
Molecule: long non-coding RNA, 3395 nt
Organism: Lates calcarifer (barramundi perch)
Lineage: Eukaryota; Metazoa; Chordata; Actinopteri; Centropomidae
Exons: 3
Source: RefSeq, a predicted model, not a curated record